RNAcentral lists this ribosomal RNA (253 nucleotides) under uncultured bacterium. RNAcentral's name for it is "partial 16S ribosomal RNA". It matches the Rfam family "Bacterial small subunit ribosomal RNA", at positions 524 to 776 of the family's 1533-position model. The record is from RNAcentral.
UACGUAGGUGGCAAGCGUUGUCCGGAUUUAUUGGGUUUAAAGGGUGCGUAGGCGGUCCUAUAAGUCAGUUGUGAAAUACGGCAGCUUAACUGUCGAGGUGCAAUUGAUACUGCAGGACUUGAGUACAGACGAGGUAGGCGGAAUUGACGGUGUAGCGGUGAAAUGCGUAGAGAUCGGGAGGAACACCCGUGGCGAAGGCGGCCAUCUGGACCAGCACUGACGCUGAGGCACGAAAGCGUGGGGAGCAAACAGG